This 199-nucleotide long non-coding RNA is filed under the name Salvia miltiorrhiza (redroot sage). Its description in RNAcentral is "long non-coding RNA (SMIL_LNC008865)". The record is from RNAcentral. Lineage: Eukaryota; Viridiplantae; Streptophyta; Magnoliopsida; Lamiales; Lamiaceae.
AAGGCCUCUGCUCUGGCACGCUCCUUUCCUUCAGAGUCAGACUCAGAAUCGUCUGCUCUGUCGUCUGCAAAAACUCAUUUGCAGCUGUUCUUCCUGAAAAUCCCUUCGCUCGUGCUAUGCAACGGAGACACAAGUUUGCCUUUAAGACUACGGCGUCCCUGCAUGCACAACACUGAACAAACGGAUUAAACGCACUGGG